RNAcentral lists this ribosomal RNA (425 nucleotides) under uncultured bacterium. RNAcentral's name for it is "partial 16S ribosomal RNA". It matches the Rfam family "Bacterial small subunit ribosomal RNA", at positions 354 to 796 of the family's 1533-position model. The record is from RNAcentral.
GUGGGGAAUAUUGGACAAUGGGCGCAAGCCUGAUCCAGCCAUGCCGCGUGAGUGAUGAAGGCCUUAGGGUUGUAAAGCUCUUUCAGUAGGGAAGAUAAUGACGGUACCUACAGAAGAAGCCCCGGCUAACUUCGUGCCAGCAGCCGCGGUAAUACGAAGGGGGCUAGCGUUGUUCGGAUUUACUGGGCGUAAAGCGCACGUAGGCGGAUUGGUCAGUUAGAGGUGAAAUCCUGGAGCUCAACUCCAGAACUGCCUUUAAUACUGCCAGUCUAGAGUCCAGAAGAGGUGAGUGGAACUCCUAGUGUAGAGGUGGAAUUCGUAGAUAUUAGGAAGAACACCAGUGGCGAAGGCGGCUCACUGGUCUGGUACUGACGCUGAGGUGCGAAAGCGUGGGGAGCAAACAGGAUUAGAAACCCGAGUAGUCC